CUCACAUUCACAUCUGGAGGAGCCUUCUUUAUCGGAAAAACUGUGAGUGGGACAACGAGAGCACUGGAGAUCUUGAGAGGAAGAUUUGUAGAACCCACGGCCACAGGCUGGGGAUGCAAAAGAAAGUGAAAAUAGAAACUGGUGAAUACAGACUCUAAAGUCACCUUUCCUGCCAGAGCUGUAGCACUUCAUCAACGUGAAGAGAGAAAACUACUCAGCGCAGGUAGACAUGCAGGAAAUGUGGGUAGAGACUUAUUAUUGACCAAUUAUAUUUAAACUGGAGAGUUA
Molecule: long non-coding RNA, 288 nt
Organism: Felis catus (domestic cat)
Lineage: Eukaryota; Metazoa; Chordata; Mammalia; Carnivora; Felidae
Exons: 2
Source: RefSeq, a predicted model, not a curated record